GACGAACGCUGGCGGCGUGCCUAAUACAUGCAAGUAGAACGCUGAAGGAGGAGCUUGCUUCUCUGGAUGAGUUGCGAGCGGGUGAGUAACGCGUAGGUAACCUGCCUGGUAGCGGGGGAUAACUAUUGGAAACGAUAGCUAAUACCGCAUAAUAGUAGAUGUUGCAUGACAUUUGCUUAAAAGGUGCAAUUGCAUCACUACCAGAUGGACCUGCGUUGUAUUAGCUAGUUGGUGGGGUAACGGCUCACCAAGGCGACGAUACAUAGCCGACCUGAGAGGGUGAUCGGCCACACUGGGACUGAGACACGGCCCAGACUCCUACGGGAGGCAGCAGUAGGGAAUCUUCGGCAAUGGACGGAAGUCUGACCGAGCAACGCCGCGUGAGUGAAGAAGGUUUUCGGAUCGUAAAGCUCUGUUGUAAGAGAAGAACGAGUGUGAGAGUGGAAAGUUCACACUGUGACGGUAUCUUACCAGAAAGGGACGGCUAACUACGU
RNAcentral lists this ribosomal RNA (494 nucleotides) under uncultured bacterium. RNAcentral's name for it is "partial 16S ribosomal RNA". It matches the Rfam family "Bacterial small subunit ribosomal RNA", at positions 28 to 506 of the family's 1533-position model. The record is from RNAcentral.